CAGCAAAGCUAGGGGUGCCCAAAUAUUCGGGCUGAGAAACACCCUUAGAACCUGAGUCUGGGUAAUACCAGCGGAGGGAAGCUGUUUAUUGAGGAA
RNAcentral lists this non-coding RNA (96 nucleotides) under Oscillatoriales cyanobacterium. Its description in RNAcentral is "TPP sequence". It matches the Rfam family "TPP riboswitch aptamer (THI element)". From Rfam's summary of the family: Vitamin B(1) in its active form thiamin pyrophosphate (TPP) is an essential coenzyme that is synthesised by coupling of pyrimidine and thiazole moieties in bacteria. The previously detected thiamin-regulatory element, thi box was extended, resulting in a new, highly conserved RNA secondary structure, the THI element, which is widely distributed in eubacteria and also occurs in some archaea. The record is from RNAcentral. Lineage: Bacteria; Bacillati; Cyanobacteriota; Cyanophyceae; Oscillatoriales. RNAcentral also lists the same sequence under 1 other name.